RNAcentral lists this ribosomal RNA (1287 nucleotides) under metagenome. RNAcentral's name for it is "bacterial SSU rRNA". It matches the Rfam family "Bacterial small subunit ribosomal RNA", at positions 242 to 1520 of the family's 1533-position model. The record is from RNAcentral.
UAGCUAGUUGGUGAGGUAAAGGCUUACCAAGGCGACGAUCUGUAGCGGGUCUGAGAGGAUGAUCCGCCACACUGGAACUGAGACGCGGUCCAGACUCCUACGGGAGGCAGCAGUGGGGAAUUUUGGACAAUGGGGGCAACCCUGAUCCAGCCAUGCCGCGUGAGUGAAGAAGGCCUUCGGGUUGUAAAGCUCUUUCGGCCGGGAAGAAAUCGCAUGGGUCAAUACCCUGUGUGGAUGACGGUACGGGAAUAAGAAGCACCGGCUAACUACGUGCCAGCAGCCGCGGUAAUACGUAGGGUGCGAGCGUUAAUCGGAAUUACUGGGCGUAAAGCGUGCGCAGGCGGUUUUGUAAGACAGGCGUGAAAUCCCCGGGCUUAACCUGGGAACUGCGUUUGUGACUGCAAGGCUAGAGUACGGCAGAGGGGGGUGGAAUUCCACGUGUAGCAGUGAAAUGCGUAGAGAUGUGGAGGAACACCAAUGGCGAAGGCAGCCCCCUGGGUCGAUACUGACGCUCAUGCACGAAAGCGUGGGUAGCAAACAGGAUUAGAUACCCUGGUAGUCCACGCCCUAAACUAUGUCAACUAGGUGUUGGGUGGGUAAAACCAUUUAGUACCGUAGCUAACGCGUGAAGUUGACCGCCUGGGGAGUACGGCCGCAAGGUUAAAACUCAAAGGAAUUGACGGGGACCCGCACAAGCGGUGGAUGAUGUGGAUUAAUUCGAUGCAACGCGAAAAACCUUACCUACCCUUGACAUGCCAGGAACUUGCCAGAGAUGGCUUGGUGCCCGAAAGGGAGCCUGGACACAGGUGCUGCAUGGCUGUCGUCAGCUCGUGUCGUGAGAUGUUGGGUUAAGUCCCGCAACGAGCGCAACCCUUGUCGUUAAUUGCCAUCAUUUGGUUGGGCACUUUAACGAGACUGCCGGUGACAAACCGGAGGAAGGUGGGGAUGACGUCAAGUCCUCAUGGCCCUUAUGGGUAGGGCUUCACACGUCAUACAAUGGUCGGUACAAAGGGUUGCCAAGCCGCGAGGCGGAGCCAAUCCCAGAAAGCCGAUCGUAGUCCGGAUUGCAGGCUGCAACUCGCCUGCAUGAAGUCGGAAUCGCUAGUAAUCGUGGAUCAGCAUGUCACGGUGAAUACGUUCCCGGGUCUUGUACACACCGCCCGUCACACCAUGGGAGCGGGUUCCGCCAGAAGUAGGUAGCCUAACCGCAAGGGGGGCGCUUACCACGGCGGGGUUCGUGACUGGGGUGAAGUCGGAACAAGGUAGCCGUAGGGGAACCUGCGGCUG